AUUGAACGCUGGCGGCAGGCCUAACACAUGCAAGUCGAACGAGUGGCGGACGGGUGAGUACUGUCUGGGAAACUGCCCGAUGGAGGGGGAUAACUACUGGAAACGGUAGCUAAUACCGCAUACCAUCGGAUGUGCCCAGAUGGGAUUAGCUAGUAGGUGGGGUAACGGCUCACCUAGGCGACGAUCCCUAGCUGGUCUGAGAGGAUAACCAGCCACACUGGAACUGAGACACGGUCCAGACUCCUACGGGAGGCAGCAGUGGGGAAUAUUGCACAAUGGGCGCAAGCCUGAUGCAGCCAUGCCGCGUGUAUGAAGAAGGCCUUCGGGUUGUAAAGUACUUUCAGCGAGGAGGCGUUACCCGCAGAAGAAGCACCGGCUAACUCCGUGCCAGCAGCCGCGGUAAUAC
This 406-nucleotide ribosomal RNA is filed under the name uncultured bacterium. Its description in RNAcentral is "partial 16S ribosomal RNA". It matches the Rfam family "Bacterial small subunit ribosomal RNA", at positions 30 to 526 of the family's 1533-position model. The record is from RNAcentral.